Long non-coding RNA from Cannabis sativa, 669 nucleotides. RefSeq lists it as uncharacterized. The record is from RefSeq and is a predicted model, not a curated record. Lineage: Eukaryota; Viridiplantae; Streptophyta; Magnoliopsida; Rosales; Cannabaceae. The transcript has 2 exons.
UUUUUUGGAAUUACAUAGUGAGCAUUGGAUGUUGAUAUUAUUGGUGUCCGACUCUUAUUGGUUGUGUUUCAUGGAUCCUAAAAACUCACACUUGAGUAAUCGACCUGAUAUUAGAGAAACGGUCACAUUGGCAUUUCAAACUUACUACAGGGCGAUAAGGAAAGAAAUUCCACCGAAGCUAAAAGUUCGACGCCCAACUUGUCCACAUCAACCGGAAGACAUCGAAUGUGAAUAUUAUGUCAUGAAGAUGAUGAAAGAUUUAAUUCAAGCUUCGAAUCGGAAACACUUUUUGGCCGAGGUACAUAACAUACAAACUAUAUAAAUAUGUCAUACAUUAUUAUUGUUAUUAUUAUUAUUAUUAUUAAGAAUGCAUAUGAUGAUAAAUUUAAUUAAUAUAUUAUUUAUCUUUAAAUUUUGUAGUUAAGUGAUGCAAAGUAUAUAGAAGAAGACAUUGAUAAAGUGAAAGAGCAUUGGGCAAGUGAGAUAUUAUCGGUUAUUCAAACAUAUCAACGUUAGUUGUUUUUUGUUUUAAUAGGGCAAGUGAGAUGUUAUCGGUUAUUCAAACUUACCGAUGUUAGUUGUUUUUUGUUUUAAUAGACCAAUAGUUAUUAUAUAAUUUUAUAGUUAUGGAUUUAUUAGUAUAAUGAACUAAUAUGUAAUAUUUAUUAA